UACGGGGGGGGCAAGCGUUGUUCGGAAUUACUGGGCGUAAAGGGCUCGUAGGCGGCCAAUUAAGUCGGAUGUGAAAUCCCCAAGCUUAACUUGGGAACUGCAUCCGAUACUGGAUGGCUUGAAUCCGGGAGAGGGAUGCAGAAUUCCAGGUGUAGCGGUGAAAUGCGUAGAGAUGUGGAGGAACACCAGUGGCGAAGGCGGCUCUUUGGCCUGUAACUGACACUGAGGCGCGAAAGCGUGGGGAGCAAACAGG
This 253-nucleotide ribosomal RNA is filed under the name uncultured bacterium. Its description in RNAcentral is "partial 16S ribosomal RNA". It matches the Rfam family "Bacterial small subunit ribosomal RNA", at positions 524 to 776 of the family's 1533-position model. The record is from RNAcentral.